Oncorhynchus tshawytscha (Chinook salmon) is the source of this 675-nucleotide long non-coding RNA. The record is from Ensembl. Lineage: Eukaryota; Metazoa; Chordata; Actinopteri; Salmoniformes; Salmonidae.
AGUCGUUCGGCCAGCCCCCGCCGGCGAAGACACAGCCGUUCCCGAAGCAGGAACCGCAGUCGUGGCCGUGACUACAGCCGCUCACGGUCUCGUUCCUACUCUAGAUCCUGUUCCAAGUCCCGCACACCCCGCAAGAGCAAGUCCCCAUCCCGAUCAAGGUCCCGCAGCCGCACCCCGGCUUCUAACAGAGGCUCACGGUCGAGGUCCAAGAGCAUGCCCAAAUCCCCCGAUGACAACGGAACCGAGUCUUAGUAACAACAGUUCCAAGCCAGACCCAAUGUCAGACGAUUGAGACUUCUCUGUGGACAUCAACCAGAGCUUAAGUCUGCCAGUGGACACCUCUCUACGCCUAACAAUACUGACCAAAAGGUUGUGACUUGGUCUAAAAUGUUUCAGUUGCCCAUAAAUAGACUACUAUAUAUUUACCAAUGCGUGUAAUGCCGUUGACUAGAGUGAAGGACAUGUUUUGAGGUUAACUGUAUUUUGUCUCAUUGUUAGUGAAGGUUGGUUGCAUAUUAAUUUGAUUUAAACUUUUAUGAAGUAGCCCCCCCUCUUUUUAAAAAAUUAAUUGAAGCCCUUAUUUAGUAGUCUAAUUCUCUACAGAAGGAUUCCCCGUAUUGAGUUACUGCUGUUCUUCUUUUGGAGAGUUGAAUUUAGCAGUUACCCUAAACCAGC